RNAcentral lists this long non-coding RNA (263 nucleotides) under Lathyrus oleraceus (garden pea). RNAcentral describes it as "Pisum sativum (pea) long non-coding RNA (PSAT_LNC006011)". The record is from RNAcentral. Lineage: Eukaryota; Viridiplantae; Streptophyta; Magnoliopsida; Fabales; Fabaceae.
AAAAUUGUAGGAGAUAGGGUAUAGGGGAACCCAAUUUUGAUCAGAUGAAAUCCUCUGGUCAACCACCAUCCACCACCUUGAUAACUUGCACUUCUCUUGACAUUUUGGAUUCUUGGGAGAUCAUAUAUGCAUAAGAUGAUGAGAUUUGAGAUGCCCCUUGAAAUAUUUGAUCAAUUGGUGAAAAAGCUUGUUGAAGAAGUUACAUAAGAUACCUAGAUGAACUAGGGUUUCCAAGGCAAACCAAUUCCAAACUCUUGAAGAAU